RNAcentral lists this transfer RNA (64 nucleotides) under Cordylochernes scorpioides. RNAcentral describes it as "tRNA-OTHER". The record is from RNAcentral. Lineage: Eukaryota; Metazoa; Arthropoda; Arachnida; Pseudoscorpiones; Chernetidae.
UGCAUCGGCCGGGAAUCGAACUUGGGCGUGGCAGGCGAGCAUUCUACCACUGAACCACCGAUGG